CACCAUUGAGGCAGGCAGACAGCCUUGGCCCUGGUCUAUCUGCAUAUAACUACAGCCUGUAUCCCAUCAUCUACCCUCCACCCUCUUUCAGCUUCCUCAUCCUCACCAUGAAAAUCGCAGGCACAUGUCCCGUCAAAUGCCGUCUAUGCCGGCGGCUCAUGUGGUGGUACGAAUUCGAAGCUCACCUGAUUGCUACCCACGAAAUCCUGUGUGCCGGAGAUAUGACGGAGCUCAUGUCUCUGAUCAUGUUCAACCGGGACACCAUCGACCGCUCUGAUCCAAUAACGCCUCAGUGGCCACAGACAAUUCCUUCAGCUCCGAGAGUGAAGUAAACUACCCACUCAACCACUGCUCACACCAUAAAUCCGCUAACUCCAAAGUGUUCGGAGCACCCUUCACACACCGACGAUAGAGUCGAUCUGCUGGCCAGAUGGAUUUUGUCACAGUAGCUAUCUCCAGAUAUAGAUAUGCUGCUCGGCUGCUUGCUCUUGGCGGUGGCCUCUUUUUCUUCUUUUUACAACAUAUGCCGCUACUUGUAGCUUGGCGAUGUCAGAUACAACAUCGGUCAUUUGUACUAACAAUGAAUACUUUAAAGGAUGCUAUAAUAUUGGCUG
This 614-nucleotide unclassified non-coding RNA is filed under the name Yarrowia lipolytica. The record is from RNAcentral. Lineage: Eukaryota; Fungi; Ascomycota; Dipodascomycetes; Dipodascales.